RNAcentral lists this ribosomal RNA (1391 nucleotides) under Escherichia coli. Its description in RNAcentral is "partial 23S ribosomal RNA". It matches the Rfam family "Bacterial large subunit ribosomal RNA", at positions 1 to 1431 of the family's 2925-position model. The record is from RNAcentral. Lineage: Bacteria; Pseudomonadati; Pseudomonadota; Gammaproteobacteria; Enterobacterales; Enterobacteriaceae.
GGUUAAGCGACUAAGCGUACACGGUGGAUGCCCUGGCAGUCAGAGGCGAUGAAGGACGUGCUAAUCUGCGAUAAGCGUCGGUAAGGUGAUAUGAACCGUUAUAACCGGCGAUUUCCGAAUGGGGAAACCCAGUGUGUUUCGACACACUAUCAUUAACUGAAUCCAUAGGUUAAUGAGGCGAACCGGGGGAACUGAAACAUCUAAGUACCCCGAGGAAAAGAAAUCAACCGAGAUUCCCCCAGUAGCGGCGAGCGAACGGGGAGCAGCCCAGAGCCUGAAUCAGUGUGUGUGUUAGUGGAAGCGUCUGGAAAGGCGCGCGAUACAGGGUGACAGCCCCGUACACAAAAAUGCACAUGCUGUGAGCUCGAUGAGUAGGGCGGGACACGUGGUAUCCUGUCUGAAUAUGGGGGGACCAUCCUCCAAGGCUAAAUACUCCUGACUGACCGAUAGUGAACCAGUACCGUGAGGGAAAGGCGAAAAGAACCCCGGCGAGGGGAGUGAAAAAGAACCUGAAACCGUGUACGUACAAGCAGUGGGAGCACGCUUAGGCGUGUGACUGCGUACCUUUUGUAUAAUGGGUCAGCGACUUAUAUUCUGUAGCAAGGUUAACCGAAUAGGGGAGCCGAAGGGAAACCGAGUCUUAACUGGGCGUUAAGUUGCAGGGUAUAGACCCGAAACCCGGUGAUCUAGCCAUGGGCAGGUUGAAGGUUGGGUAACACUAACUGGAGGACCGAACCGACUAAUGUUGAAAAAUUAGCGGAUGACUUGUGGCUGGGGGUGAAAGGCCAAUCAAACCGGGAGAUAGCUGGUUCUCCCCGAAAGCUAUUUAGGUAGCGCCUCGUGAAUUCAUCUCCGGGGGUAGAGCACUGUUUCGGCAAGGGGGUCAUCCCGACUUACCAACCCGAUGCAAACUGCGAAUACCGGAGAAUGUUAUCACGGGAGACACACGGCGGGUGCUAACGUCCGUCGUGAAGAGGGAAACAACCCAGACCGCCAGCUAAGGUCCCAAAGUCAUGGUUAAGUGGGAAACGAUGUGGGAAGGCCCAGACAGCCAGGAUGUUGGCUUAGAAGCAGCCAUCAUUUAAAGAAAGCGUAAUAGCUCACUGGUCGAGUCGGCCUGCGCGGAAGAUGUAACGGGGCUAAACCAUGCACCGAAGCUGCGGCAGCGACGCUGAUGCGUUGUUGGGUAGGGGAGCGUUCUGUAAGCCUGCGAAGGUGUGCUGUGAGGCAUGCUGGAGGUAUCAGAAGUGCGAAUGCUGACAUAAGUAACGAUAAAGCGGGUGAAAAGCCCGCUCGCCGGAAGACCAAGGGUUCCUGUCCAACGUUAAUCGGGGCAGGGUGAGUCGACCCCUAAGGCGAGGCCGAAAGGCGUAGUCGAUGGGAAACAGGUU